UACGAAGGGGGCAGGCGUUAUUCGGAAUUAUUGGGCGUAAAGCGUGCGUAGGCUGCCUAGCGUGUUGUUAGUGAAAUCCUAUGGCUCAACCAUAGAACUGCUAACAAAACUGUUAGGCUUGAGUGUCAGAGGGGGCAGAAGAAUUCCUGAUGUAGGGGUGGAAUCCGUAGAUAUCAGGAGGAAGACCAAAGGCGUAAGCAUCUGUCUGGCUGAAUACUGACGCUGAGGUACGAAAGCGUGGGGAGCAAACAGG
RNAcentral lists this ribosomal RNA (253 nucleotides) under uncultured bacterium. RNAcentral describes it as "partial 16S ribosomal RNA". It matches the Rfam family "Bacterial small subunit ribosomal RNA", at positions 524 to 776 of the family's 1533-position model. The record is from RNAcentral.